This 76-nucleotide transfer RNA is filed under the name Campylobacteraceae bacterium. RNAcentral describes it as "tRNA-Thr". It matches the Rfam family "tRNA". From Rfam's summary of the family: Transfer RNA (tRNA) molecules are approximately 80 nucleotides in length. Their secondary structure includes four short double-helical elements and three loops (D, anti-codon, and T loops). Further hydrogen bonds mediate the characteristic L-shaped molecular structure. tRNAs have two regions of fundamental functional importance: the anti-codon, which is responsible for specific mRNA codon recognition, and the 3' end, to which the tRNAs corresponding amino acid is attached (by aminoacyl-tRNA synthetases). tRNAs cope with the degeneracy of the genetic code in two manners: having more than one tRNA (with a specific anti-codon) for a particular amino acid; and 'wobble' base-pairing, i.e. permitting non-standard base-pairing at the 3rd anti-codon position. RNAcentral also lists the same sequence under 1 other name. Lineage: Bacteria; Pseudomonadati; Campylobacterota; Epsilonproteobacteria; Campylobacterales; Campylobacteraceae. The record is from RNAcentral.
GCCGGCGUAGCUCAGUUGGUAGAGCAACUGCCUUGUAAGCAGUAGGUCGGGGGUUCGAGUCCCUUUGCCGGCUCCA